Long non-coding RNA from Erpetoichthys calabaricus (reedfish), 1113 nucleotides. RefSeq lists it as uncharacterized. The transcript has 5 exons. Lineage: Eukaryota; Metazoa; Chordata; Cladistia; Polypteriformes; Polypteridae. The record is from RefSeq and is a predicted model, not a curated record.
AGGGUCCGGCUGCAGGUCGCAGACUUGGCCUUCCACGCCUCCUGCCUUGCACAGUCCGCCCCACAACCGCCUAUAGUCCGUAGAAAGAGAAGAAGAGCUGCUGUACAGUUUUUCCAAUUCGAAAAAGAAAAGGGGCUGAAAACGUUUUCUGACACGGAACAAUGGCACAACAGAACCAGUCACAUUUCUCCAUAAAGGCAGAGAAUAUAAAAACAACUUUGAUAACAUUGAUUAAAUAUCCAAUUGAAUCCAAGUGCCCUCUUUGUAAAAAGCACAGAGACUACAGCAUCCUGCUACGUCACCUUCAGAGUCAUGAAGGCCACAUUGUCAAGUAUGCAGCAUACUGUCCAUAGUGGUUUUGAAGUUCCAGAAACGCCUACCUUUCAAAAUCCAGAUCAUUUAAAUGUAUGUUUAAUGGUUUGCAUAAAUAUUUUUGUAACAUUAAACUCCUUUUAACAACGUGACUCUGCUCAGUCCUCUUUAGAACGACAUGCUGGCUUUGUGGAAGAGCUGGUGUAGAAUGUUACUUGAGAACUCCAGCACCAAGGGUUUAGACUUUAUUGAACCAUUAAUGAGAAGACAGAGUAAAGACUUGGCACUACAUCUGAAAUGAACAAAUGUCUUGCUAUUCUGUUCCAUAGCAAUGCAUUCUGCAGAUUUCAGAUUUUUUCUUUUAGAAGAAAUGUCAGCGUCCCUUCUCCAACAUCCAGCACAGGGCACUGAUGAGCAGCAGGAUGGAAUCCUUCAGCAUUUCACCGAGGCACAGAAGUGGUGUGCUGAGAACAUUUCCGUGUUCAAAGGGCGAAUCUCACGCCCUGCAUUACUGUCAAUGGACAAAGACGACACUGAGGAGGCCCUUCAGAAAUUUGAUUGCUAUCUGAAUUUCCAGAAGAAGAGGAGAGGGAAUAUGUCUUUAGACAUAUUUUUUUCACAUAUGGAAGACAUGCAUCUGUUUUUAGAUUAACGUGAGAGGAAAAAGGAAAAUGACUGAGUUUUGUGAGAAAAUGUAACAAACAUACAUGUCCCUCAUUGUUCAGUUACAACCUACAAUUCUUGUUCUAUAUUUUAUAUAUUCUUUAACUUUUUUGUAAUAAAUGUUGCAAACCAACUUCA